UCACCGGAAUGUUGAGACUGCGCAGUACGGCGUUGAUGCUGAGCACGUUCCUCAACGAAUUGUCAAUGUGUCCAUGAAGCGCCACGUUGGUGACCGAGCUGCGCAGCGAGUUGAGGGCUUGCUGGAGGAGCCAUAAGCCACACUGCACCUCCUGGGCUUUCUCCAUGGCCUGGCAAACAAAGCACAUCACGUAUACAAUAUCAAAGUCUACUGUGGUCUGGGGAACGGCGAUGGACUGGGACAGGCUACAUCCAUCUCGGCAUGACUUCUGAGGAGACAAGUGGAGGGAGGAACCGCACCUCGCAGAGUUUAAUGGGAAUGUCCAUAUAGCAUUUGCCCAAACAUCACUGAGGACUCACCAUUGCGACUUCUGCGUCUUGGGCUUCCUUGAUAAAAUGGUUGAGGACCCUCAGGUCACAGAUGGGCCUCAGUGGGGAUAGGAGGCUUGGGCGAGUCCACUCCAACAACAUCAACAGCAAGGCAAGUAGUCCUGGCAGACAGCAUCAAAGCAAUACACGUUCACAUUUUCAUGACUUUUUAAGACUAGAGCUGUCCUAUCGAGUCUUUGAGCAUGAACUGAUGAACUUGCUUGGAUGAGAGGCAUUUUUAGGAUACUGGUAUUUAUCCCUCCAUCCAUUUUCUAUCACUUUUAAAUCAAGGGGAUGUUAUUUGGUACACAUCCCUAAUAAAACUACUCUUGUUUAAAGUAGAUUAGGGCUAGUAAAUUCAACUGUUGUAAGUAUAGGGUCGUAACGAGAACUGGUAUACAGUCGUCCUUUUCCACUAAGCCUGCGUCUUCACUCUAUCGCAGAUUUUUUUUUGUCUUUAUUUCUCUUUUUUAAAGCUUAUUCUAAGUAUCUUUGGACUAUAUUGAGAAUUUUCAAAUGGCUAAAUGAAAUAAAAAAUACCAAUACUA
Long non-coding RNA from Nerophis lumbriciformis (worm pipefish), 916 nucleotides. RefSeq lists it as uncharacterized. NCBI's taxonomy places the organism in Eukaryota, Metazoa, Chordata, Actinopteri, Syngnathiformes, Syngnathidae. The record is from RefSeq and is a predicted model, not a curated record.